This 374-nucleotide ribosomal RNA is filed under the name uncultured organism. RNAcentral's name for it is "partial 16S ribosomal RNA". It matches the Rfam family "Bacterial small subunit ribosomal RNA", at positions 527 to 896 of the family's 1533-position model. The record is from RNAcentral.
GUAGGUGGCAAGCGUUGUCCGGAAUUAUUGGGCGUAAAGCGCGCGCAGGCGGUUCCUUAAGUCUGAUGUGAAAGCCCCCCGGGCUCAACCGGGGGAGGGUCAUUGGAAACUGGGGAACUUGAGUGCAGAAGAGGAGAGCGGAAUUCCACGUGUAGCGGUGAAAUGCGUAGAGAUGUGGAGGAACACCAGUGGCGAAGGCGGCUCUCUGGUCUGUAACUGACGCUGAGGCGCGAAAGCGUGGGGAGCGAACAGGAUUAGAUACCCUGGUAGUCCACGCCGUAAACGAUGAGUGCUAAGUGUUAGAGGGUUUCCGCCCUUUAGUGCUGCAGCAAACGCAUUAAGCACUCCGCCUGGGGAGUACGGCCGCAAGGCUG